UACGUAUGGUGCAAGCGUUAUCCGGAUUUACUGGGUGUAAAGGGAGCGUAGGCGGCGCGUUAAGUCUGAUGUGAAAACCCGAGGCUCAACCACGGGAGUGCAUUGGAAACUGGCGGGCUGGAGUGCCGGAGGGGUAAGCGGAAUUCCUAGUGUAGCGGUGAAAUGCGUAGAUAUUAGGAGGAACACCAGUGGCGAAGGCGGCUUACUGGACGGCAACUGACGCUGAGGCUCGAAAGCGUGGGGAGCAAACAGG
RNAcentral lists this ribosomal RNA (253 nucleotides) under uncultured bacterium. RNAcentral describes it as "partial 16S ribosomal RNA". It matches the Rfam family "Bacterial small subunit ribosomal RNA", at positions 524 to 776 of the family's 1533-position model. The record is from RNAcentral.